Molecule: transfer RNA, 68 nt
Filed under: Cnemaspis bayuensis
Lineage: Eukaryota; Metazoa; Chordata; Lepidosauria; Squamata; Gekkonidae
Description: partial tRNA-Ala
Source: RNAcentral
GUUUUAAAGCCUAAUUAAAGUGUCUGAGUUGCAGUCAGGUGAUGCCGGUUAGAGUUCUGCAGGCCUUC